Molecule: small nucleolar RNA, 80 nt
Filed under: Brachypodium distachyon (stiff brome)
Lineage: Eukaryota; Viridiplantae; Streptophyta; Magnoliopsida; Poales; Poaceae
Description: snoRNA snoJ33
Rfam family: Small nucleolar RNA J33
About the family: J33 is a member of the C/D class of snoRNA which contain the C (UGAUGA) and D (CUGA) box motifs.
Source: Rfam by way of RNAcentral
CUGUGAGGGGGAUGAUGUACUAUUAUGAGGCUCUCAAGAUGCUGACAUUUCUUGAUUCCGCUUCUGAACAUGAUCUACGA